GACGAACGCUGGCGGCGUGCCUAAUACAUGCAAGUUGAGCGAUGAAGAUUGGUGCUUGCACCAAUUUGAAGAGCAGCGAACGGGUGAGUAACGCGUGGGGAAUCUGCCUUUGAGCGGGGGACAACAUUUGGAAACGAAUGCUAAUACCGCAUAACAACUUUAAACAUAAGUUUUAAGUUUGAAAGAUGCAAUUGCAUCACUCAAAGAUGAUCCCGCGUUGUAUUAGCUAGUUGGUGAGGUAAAGGCUCACCAAGGCGAGGAUACAUAGCCGACCUGAGAGGGUGAUCGGCCACAUUGGGACUGUGACACGGCCCAAACGCCUACGGGAGGCAGCAGUAGGGAAUCUUCGGCAAUGGACGAAAGUCUGACCGAGCAACGCCGCGUGAGUGAAGAAGGAUUUCGGAUCGUAAAACUCUGUUGGUAGAGAAGAACGUUGGUGAGAGUGGAAAGCUCAUCAAGUGACGGUAACUACCCAGAAAGGGACGGCCAACUACGUG
This 497-nucleotide ribosomal RNA is filed under the name uncultured bacterium. RNAcentral's name for it is "partial 16S ribosomal RNA". It matches the Rfam family "Bacterial small subunit ribosomal RNA", at positions 28 to 507 of the family's 1533-position model. The record is from RNAcentral.